RNAcentral lists this transfer RNA (63 nucleotides) under Duthiersia expansa. RNAcentral describes it as "tRNA-Thr". The record is from RNAcentral. Lineage: Eukaryota; Metazoa; Platyhelminthes; Cestoda; Diphyllobothriidea; Diphyllobothriidae.
GGUUAAAUAGUUUAUACAAAAUGUUGGUUUUGUAAACCAGAGAGGAUUAUUAAUCUUUAACCU